This 484-nucleotide ribosomal RNA is filed under the name uncultured bacterium. RNAcentral describes it as "partial 16S ribosomal RNA". It matches the Rfam family "Bacterial small subunit ribosomal RNA", at positions 29 to 507 of the family's 1533-position model. The record is from RNAcentral.
AUUGAACGCUGGCGGCAUGCUUUACACAUGCAAGUCGAACGGCAGCGCGGGCUUCGGCCUGGCGGCGAGUGGCGAACGGGUGAGUAAUGCAUCGGAACGUGCCCAGUAGUGGGGGAUAGCCCGGCGAAAGCCGGAUUAAUACCGAAUACGACCUGAGGGUGAAAGCGGGGGACCGAAAGGCCUCGCGCUAUUGGAGCGGCCGAUGUCGGAUUAGCUAGUUGGUGGGGUAAAGGCUUACCAAGGCGACGAUCCGUAGCUGGUCUGAGAGGACGACCAGCCACACUGGGACUGAGACACGGCCCAGACUCCUACGGGAGGCAGCAGUGGGGAAUUUUGGACAAUGGGGGCAACCCUGAUCCAGCCAUGCCGCGUGCGGGAAGAAGGCCUUCGGGUUGUAAACCGCUUUUGUUCGGGAAGAAAUCCUCUGGGCUAAUACCCCGGGGGGAUGACGGUACCGGAAGAAUAAGCACCGGCUAACUACGUG